CGGCCCAUACCCUUAUAGUUUUAAGUUAGUGCAUCGGAUACCAUUAUACAAGAUUCUGCAUAGGAUGCCAUUAUAGUAGUAAUUUGAGUGCACUUACCUCUUUUUCUAUGUUUCGUGAGAUUUAACAGGUUACUGAGCCAAUAUGGCUGCCACAUAGGCUACAAAUAAGUCUAAAAGUAAAAAUAAAAAUAAAAAUUUAAAAAACAUAAACUAAAAAGAAUGCGACAAAUCUCCCUCCUCGCAUAGUCUUCUUCCUCAUAGAGCAUUCUAAGUUUGGCGAGUGC
RNAcentral lists this long non-coding RNA (284 nucleotides) under Linum usitatissimum (flax). RNAcentral describes it as "long non-coding RNA (LUSI_LNC003235)". The record is from RNAcentral. Lineage: Eukaryota; Viridiplantae; Streptophyta; Magnoliopsida; Malpighiales; Linaceae.